Cebus imitator (Panamanian white-faced capuchin) is the source of this 324-nucleotide unclassified non-coding RNA. Its record names the gene 7SK. It matches the Rfam family "7SK RNA". Rfam says of the family: 7SK was discovered as an abundant small nuclear RNA in the mid-70s but a possible function has only recently been suggested. Two independent studies have found that 7SK RNA binds the CDK9/cyclin T complex (known as elongation factor P-TEFb). The record is from Ensembl. NCBI's taxonomy places the organism in Eukaryota, Metazoa, Chordata, Mammalia, Primates, Cebidae.
GGAUGUGAGGGCGAUCUGGCUGUGACAUCUGUCACCCCAUUGAUCGCCAGGGUUGAUUCGGCUGAUCUGGCCGGCUAGGCGGGUGUCCCCUUCCUCCCUCACCGCUCCAUGUGCGUCCCUCCCAAAGCUGCACGCUCGGUCGAAGAGGACGACCAUCCCCGAUAGAGGAGGACCGGUCUUCGGUCAAGGGUAUACGAGUAGCUGUGCUCCCCUGCUAGAACCUCCAAACAAGCUCUCAAAAAGCUUGGCUCUAAGCCUGAGAGCAAAGGGCUGGGUCUUUCUGUGCCUCCACUUGCCAUGGGAGAAAGACAUGUAUGGUUAGAU